Molecule: ribosomal RNA, 253 nt
Filed under: uncultured bacterium
Lineage: Bacteria
Description: partial 16S ribosomal RNA
Rfam family: Bacterial small subunit ribosomal RNA
Source: RNAcentral
UACGUAGGUGGCAAGCGUUGUCCGGAAUUAUUGGGCGUAAAGCGCGCGCAGGCGGUCUUUUAAGUCUGAUGUGAAAGCCCACGGCUCAACCGUGGAGGGUCGUUGGAAACUGGGGGACUUGAGUGCAGGAGAGAAGAGUGGAAUUCCACGUGUAGCGGUGAAAUGCGCAGAUAUUAGGAGGAACACCGGUGGCGAAGGCGCCACUCUGGGCCGAAACUGACGCUGAGGAGCGAAAGCGUGGGUAGCAAACAGG